UGGGGAAUAUUGGACAAUGGGCGCAAGCCUGAUCCAGCCAUGCCGCGUGAGUGAUGAAGGCCCUAGGGUUGUAAAGCUCUUUCACCGGUGAAGAUAAUGACGGUAACCGGAGAAGAAGCCCCGGCUAACUUCGUGCCAGCAGCCGCGGUAAUACGAAGGGGGCUAGCGUUGUUCGGAUUUACUGGGCGUAAAGCGCACGUAGGCGGACUUUUAAGUCAGGGGUGAAAUCCCGGGGCUCAACCCCGGAACUGCCUUUGAUACUGGAAGUCUUGAGUAUGGUAGAGGUGAGUGAAAUUCCGAGUGUAGAGGUGAAAUUCGUAGAUAUACGGAGGAACACCAGUGACGAAGGCGGCUCACUGGACCAUUACUGACGCUGAGGUGCGAAAGCGGGGGGAGCAAACAGG
RNAcentral lists this ribosomal RNA (404 nucleotides) under Actinomycetes bacterium. RNAcentral's name for it is "Actinobacteria bacterium partial 16S ribosomal RNA". It matches the Rfam family "Bacterial small subunit ribosomal RNA", at positions 355 to 776 of the family's 1533-position model. The record is from RNAcentral. Lineage: Bacteria; Bacillati; Actinomycetota; Actinomycetes.